CUUGACAUCCAGAGAAUCUAGCGGAGACGCUGGAGUGCCUUCGGGAGCUCUGAGACAGGUGCUGCAUGGCUGUCGUCAGCUCGUGUUGUGAAAUGUUGGGUUAAGUCCCGCAACGAGCGCAACCCUUAUCCUUGUUUGCCAGCACGUAAUGGUGGGAACUCCAGGGAGACUGCCGGUGAUAAACCGGAGGAAGGUGGGGACGACGUCAAGUCAUCAUGGCCCUUACGAGUAGGGCUACACACGUGCUACAAUGGCGUAUACAGAGGGCAGCGAUACCGCGAGGUGGAGCGAAUCUCACAAAGUACGUCGUAGUCCGGAUUGGAGUCUGCAACUCGACUCCAUGAAGUCGGAAUCGC
This 356-nucleotide ribosomal RNA is filed under the name Vibrio cholerae. Its description in RNAcentral is "bacterial SSU rRNA". It matches the Rfam family "Bacterial small subunit ribosomal RNA", at positions 980 to 1335 of the family's 1533-position model. The record is from RNAcentral. Lineage: Bacteria; Pseudomonadati; Pseudomonadota; Gammaproteobacteria; Vibrionales; Vibrionaceae.